Non-coding RNA from Cherax quadricarinatus, 477 nucleotides. The record is from RefSeq and is a predicted model, not a curated record. NCBI's taxonomy places the organism in Eukaryota, Metazoa, Arthropoda, Malacostraca, Decapoda, Parastacidae.
UGAAUCAAGAUGGACCCAAACAACAACCACACACAUACAGAUAAGAGCAUUUAAGGAGGUAGAGCUCACAAAGUCUUAGUUACUGUGGCCCUUAACAACCUCAACAACACUACUGUUAACAGAAGUGGUCCUGUCUGGCUUGAGCUCAUUAUUUCCAGCACUUGGGGCCUGAAUGGUGAAUGAUGCUUCCAUUUUAUCUGCUGAAAUCUUAGACAUUUCACCAUCCAGUGGCUUUAUCAAUACAAAUUCAAGGACAUGAAUGGAAGACAGAAGAACUGUAUACAGAAGAUGAGUUAAUCAUUCCCUCAGCCUUGGAGUUGAUGUAAAGGGCACCGUAGUCAUGAAGACUCUGGCACAGACAAGAAGGCUAGUGCUUAUAUACUAUCGUGAGGUGGAAAGGGACGGGUAGCAGACAAGGGCAUAGUUACUAGUAGGCGGGAUUCCCCAGUGGAAGUAGGUCAUAAUUUUCACAUUGUC